UUCUCCAUGAGGUUUUGAAAGCUUAGAGGAUGAGAUGGAAAACCAAAGUGAGGCUGAUGAAACAAGUGAGAGCAUGUACAUAUGUGUGUGUAUAUAUAUGUAAGUUGAAUUUAUUUUAUUUGCCUUUUGAGACAAUGAGGAAAGCUCAGCUGUCAAGAAACAGGGAUGCUAAUCCUCAUUCAGUCAUUACUAACAAACUGAAAAUAACGGCUCCCCGAGGAAGGCAACGUUGAUUCAAUGAAUCUAAGCAGUGAGCUUCUGUGUUCUCUUGCAGCAAUCAAAAACAAUAAAAAAUAGCCAUCAUUGAUAAUACUUUUAAUA
RNAcentral lists this long non-coding RNA (321 nucleotides) under Monodelphis domestica (gray short-tailed opossum). RNAcentral's name for it is "lncRNA (ENSMODG00000042288.1)". Lineage: Eukaryota; Metazoa; Chordata; Mammalia; Didelphimorphia; Didelphidae. The record is from RNAcentral.